UUAAUUGAAGAGUUUGAUCAUGGCUCAGAUUGAACGCUGGCGGCAGGCCUAACACAUGCAAGUCGAACGGUAACAGGGAGCAGCUUGCUGCUCUGCUGACGAGUGGCGGACGGGUGAGUAAUGUCUGGGAAACUGCCUGAUGGAGGGGGAUAACUACUGGAAACGGUAGCUAAUACCGCAUAACGUCUACGG
This 192-nucleotide ribosomal RNA is filed under the name Cronobacter sakazakii. RNAcentral describes it as "partial 16S ribosomal RNA". It matches the Rfam family "Bacterial small subunit ribosomal RNA", at positions 1 to 185 of the family's 1533-position model. Lineage: Bacteria; Pseudomonadati; Pseudomonadota; Gammaproteobacteria; Enterobacterales; Enterobacteriaceae. The record is from RNAcentral.